CCUACGGGAGGCAGCAGUGAGGAAUAUUGGUCAAUGGGCGCGAGCCUGAACCAGCCAAGUAGCGUGAAGGAUGACUGCCCUACGGGUUGUAAACUUCUUUUAUAAAGGAAUAAAGUGAGGCACGUGUGCCUUUUUGUAUGUACUUUAUGAAUAAGGAUCGGCUAACUCCGUGCCAGCAGCCGCGGUAAUACGGAGGAUCCGAGCGUUAUCCGGAUUUAUUGGGUUUAAAGGGAGCGUAGAUGGGUUGUUAAGUCAGUUGUGAAAGUUUGCGGCUCAACCGUAAAAUUGCAAUUGAAACUGGCAGCCUUGAGAAGAGUUGAGGUAGGCGGAAUGCGUGGUGUAGCGGUGAAAUGCUUAGAUAUCGCGAAGAACUCCGAUUGCGAAGGCAGCUUACUAGACUGCCACUGACAUUGAUGCUCGAAAGUGUGGGUAUCAAACAGGAUUAGAUACCCGUGUAGUC
This 460-nucleotide ribosomal RNA is filed under the name uncultured bacterium. RNAcentral describes it as "partial 16S ribosomal RNA". It matches the Rfam family "Bacterial small subunit ribosomal RNA", at positions 338 to 795 of the family's 1533-position model. The record is from RNAcentral.